This 506-nucleotide ribosomal RNA is filed under the name uncultured bacterium. RNAcentral's name for it is "partial 16S ribosomal RNA". It matches the Rfam family "Bacterial small subunit ribosomal RNA", at positions 29 to 523 of the family's 1533-position model. The record is from RNAcentral.
AGUGAACGCUGGCGGUAGGCCUAACACGUGCAAGUCGAACGGCAGCACAGGAGAGCUUGCUCUCUGGGUGGCGAGUGGCGGACGGGUGAGGAAUACAUCGGAAUCUACUCUGUCGUGGGGGAUAACGUAGGGAAACUUACGCUAAUACCGCAUACGACCUACGUGUGAAAGCAGGGGAUCUUCGGACCUUGCGCGAUUGAAUGAGCCGAUGUCGGAUUAGCUCGUUGGCGGGGUAAAGGCCCACCAAGGCCACGAUCCGUAGCUGGUCUGAGAGGAUGAUAGGCUACGAUGGGACUGGGACACGGGCCAGACUCCUAGGGAGGGAAUGGGUGGGGAAUAUUGGACAGUGGGCGCAAGCCUGAUCCAGGCAUACCGCGGGGGUGAAGAUGGCCUUCGGGUUGUAAAGCCCUUUUGUUGGGAAAGAAAUCCAGCUGGCUAAUACCCGGUUGGGAUGACGGUACCCAAAGAAUAAGCACCGGCUAACUUCGUGCCAGCCGCCGCGGGAA